Oreochromis aureus is the source of this 1423-nucleotide long non-coding RNA. RefSeq lists it as uncharacterized. The transcript has 4 exons. NCBI's taxonomy places the organism in Eukaryota, Metazoa, Chordata, Actinopteri, Cichliformes, Cichlidae. The record is from RefSeq and is a predicted model, not a curated record.
UUCAAGUAUUUUGCAGUCCAGCGGAUCUGGAAUACAUGAGCUGUGCUGUUAGGGAAAACGCUUAUGUUUUUUAUUCUUUUGUUUUAAGGGAAGGGUUUUAAUGGAGAAAUAGAGGCACGGUGACUGGGAGAAAUAAGGGAACGCCUCCCUAAUGCUGGUUCAGUGAGAGUCAUAUGACAUCUGUUACCCCUUGACUCCACAAUUACCUCCUAUGGGAAAUGUUGUGGGUCAUCUCCAGUCUUGGGCUCCCCCAAUAUCCACCAGCAUCCUCUCUCAGCAGUAAAGUUUCUCGGGGGAUUGAUCUUGGGAAAAUCUGCUGGGAUGUCCACUCCUGGGAAGACUGGCAGCCCUCUUCAUUUUUUUUCAAGAUAACUGCCAAUCAAACACCAGAUUAUUUAUUAUGUUCUGAUAAGUAAAUCAGAACAUAAUAGAACUAACAGAGGGUGUAAUUUCUUUUUACUAUUACUGUAUUUAUCUCUGGACCCCAAACCAAAUUCUUAGUGUUAUAGUGUUUUAAAGCAAUACCCCUAUUUAUGAAUUACACUGUACAUAAACAAAUCCUAUCCUUUGGAGAGAUGAGACUGAUCUCAACCAGUGAUAUGUGAAGAAAAAGAUGAAGGAGGCUCAAUAAUAAUUUUUUGUAUGUUAAGAGAUCAGACUGGACUAACAGCUGAGGAUACCUUGUCUCAGGGCCAAGCUGGAUUUCAGUGCUGUCAACUUUUUAUUUUACUUGUCAGAAUGGAAACGGACAUACAAGGGUUUGUUUGCCCCUCUGACGUCUUUAGCCACAUAGGCUGUGAGAGGAAAUAGACAGAGAGCAGAUUUUAAGGACCCCACACCUCUUAAUGGUAUGCUUCGUAUGAGAGUGUGGGAUUUGGAGGGCCAAGCAACUCUUCCUUGUCUUCUUCCUCCUGAGACAUCAUUUACUCUUAUAAAGAAAAAUGUGGAAGAAAAAGUGAUCGGAGCUGUAGGUGGAUAUAAAAGUCUCAGUUCUCACAGUUCUCCACCUCAGGAAAGAUGAUGUUCAAUACUGGGCUGGCAAACUGGAAAAAAAAAACCUAAAGAAAAUCAUGCGACCUUCUAAAUCAGUGAAACCAGAUGUUUGGUGUUCUGGUUUUCCUUUCAAUCUUCCGGAUGUGACAGUUUAAAAGUAUAAUGUGUAUUUGAUCUGUAGUAAUGUGUAAAAUCUAAUUCGGGAAGAAAUUAGUUCAAUGCAAAAUCAAAACUGAAUCAAAUGAUUACUGCCUAAACAUCGCAGUUCCUUGCCGAGAUGUAGGCCUCUGAAGGAAAACUUCCAUGUGUUUCAGUGCUGAUUUCAAAAGUCUAACCAUUUCUCUAAUGUAUAUGUUCAGCUAAGCCAAAUCCACACAAUGACAUCAGAUUAUACGUCUCAAAACCAUGAAAAUAAAUAUGUCUUUCUGCA